GUAGCCUAGCGGUUAGAGGGGGAGGCGGGUAGCCUAGCGGUUAGAGGGGGAGGCAGGUAGCCUAGCGGUUAGAGGGGGAGGCGGGUAGCCUAGCGGUUAGAGGGGGGAGGCGGGUAGCCUAGCGGUUAGAGGGGGGAGGCGGGUAGCCUAGCGGUUAGAGGGGGGAGGCGGGUAGCCUAGCGGUUAGAGAGGGGGGAGGCGGGUAGCCUAGCGGUUAGAGAGGGGGGAGGCAGGUAGCCUAGUGGUUAGAGUGUUGGACUAGUAACCGAAAGGUUGCUGGAUCGAAUCCCCCGAGCUGACAAGGUAAAAAUCUGUCGUUCUGCCCCUGAACAAGGCAGUUAACCCACUGUUCCCUGGUAGGCCGUCAUUGUAAAUAAAAAUUUGUUCUUAACUGACUUGGCUAGUUAAAUAAAAAUAAUAUCCUAUGCCUUUGGUGUUGAGAAUCUGCAGUUACUGUAAUGGACCAUUGGGGGGCAGUGUCGUCCCUGGAGUACACCACAAAGAGAUCAGGAGAGGUGACCCAGGUCAUGAAGAGAGAAGCCAGAUAAUCAGCCUAGUUAUUCUGAGAGAGUUGGGCUAAAUGAAUCAG
RNAcentral lists this long non-coding RNA (589 nucleotides) under Salmo salar (Atlantic salmon). RNAcentral describes it as "lncRNA (ENSSSAG00000116969.1)". Lineage: Eukaryota; Metazoa; Chordata; Actinopteri; Salmoniformes; Salmonidae. The record is from RNAcentral.